UCUGGUUGAUCCUGCCAGAAGUUAUAUGCUUGUUUCAAGGAUUAAGCCAUGCAUGUCUAAGAAUAAAGUAAUCUAAGCUGAAUCUGCGUACGGCUCAUUAAACCAGCAAUGAUCUACCCUGGAAAGUGAGGCUUCGGCCUUGCCAUUCGGAUAUCCACUCGAAACGGGUGGUUAAUACGUGGAAGAAAAGAGCCGCCUCCAUUCAACCAGUGCUAGGGGAAACCCGAGCUGGGGAGGCGGUUUGGUGUGGACCGAAACAAAAACCGACGCCCGCAAGGGCAGUUUCAUGACAUCGGUGAAUCAGGUCCACUUAUUACCUAAAGCGCAGUUCACUGCGCGUUCCAGGACGAACUUCUGCCCUAUCAGCUAUGAUGGUUGUGUAGUGGACAACCAUGGCGGUCACGGGUAACGGAGAAUCAGGGUUCGAUUCCGGAGAGUGAGCCUGAGAGACGGCUAACACAACUAAGGUUGGCAGCAGGCGCGCAAAUUACCCAAUGUCAACACUGACGAGGUAGCGACGAAAAAUAGGAUUUCCGCUGGUCUUCGACCAGUGGAGAUUCUCUGGUGCCAGCAGCCGCGGUAAUUCCAGCUCCAAGAGCGUAUGCUAAUGCUGUUGCUGUUAAAAAGCUCGUAGUUGGAUUCUGAGUUGAAGGUUGCACCCGGCCUUUCUACCGGGCGUCCUCUGGGCGCUCCGGUCAGAUUGGGUACAACCGAGUGCUUUCGACCUUCACUCUACACACGCGGAAACGAUUCCUCUGCGGAAGCCUCCUUCACUGGUGGUGGAAGCAACAUUACGGGACCACAAGUUCCCAUAAAGAGGCGUCCGCGAUUGUUACUGUGAACAAAACAGCGUGUUCAAAGCAUCCGUUUGGCUGAAUGAUCUAGCAUGGAAUAACAAGGGAUCGACCCUUUUGGUCUUCUUUUUGUCGGUUUUGAUUUGUUCCGUCGGUAUUAAUAGGAGCAAGCGGGGUGGUACGUAUUGCUGCGUUAGUGGUGAAAUACUUAGACCGCAGCAGGACGAACAACAGCGAAGGCAUUCUGCAAGUUUGCUUUCAUUAAUCAAGAACGAGAGUGUGGGGUUCGAAGAUGAUCAGAUACCGUCGUAGUCCAUACCCGUAAACGAUGCCGAUUUGAAAUCAGCGGGG
This 1145-nucleotide ribosomal RNA is filed under the name uncultured soil eukaryote. RNAcentral describes it as "SSU rRNA". It matches the Rfam family "Eukaryotic small subunit ribosomal RNA", at positions 1 to 1061 of the family's 1831-position model. The record is from RNAcentral.